RNAcentral lists this ribosomal RNA (207 nucleotides) under uncultured bacterium. Its description in RNAcentral is "partial 16S ribosomal RNA". It matches the Rfam family "Bacterial small subunit ribosomal RNA", at positions 568 to 774 of the family's 1533-position model. The record is from RNAcentral.
CACGUAGGCGGCUAGGUCCGUCCGAUGUGAAAGCCCCCGGCUCAACCGGGGAAUAGCAUCGGAUACAGCCUGGCUUGAGGACGGUUGGGGUGAGUGGAACUCCUGGUGGAGCGGUGAAAUGCGUAGAUAUCAGGAGGAACACCGGUGGCGAAAGCGGCUCACUGGACCGUUUCUGACGCUGAGGUGCGAAAGCUAGGGGAGCAAACG